This 384-nucleotide RNase P RNA is filed under the name Kibdelosporangium aridum. RNAcentral describes it as "RNase P RNA component class A". It matches the Rfam family "Bacterial RNase P class A". Rfam says of the family: Ribonuclease P (RNase P) is a ubiquitous endoribonuclease, found in archaea, bacteria and eukarya as well as chloroplasts and mitochondria. Its best characterised activity is the generation of mature 5'-ends of tRNAs by cleaving the 5'-leader elements of precursor-tRNAs. The record is from RNAcentral. Lineage: Bacteria; Bacillati; Actinomycetota; Actinomycetes; Pseudonocardiales; Pseudonocardiaceae.
CGAGUCGGCAGGGCGGCCGCGACGAUUCGAAAGAAAGUCGAGGAAAGUCCGGACUCCACAGGGCAGGGUGGUUGCUAGCGGCAACCCGAGGUGACUCGCGGGACAGUGCCACAGAAAGCAAACCGCCUUGGCCAACGGCUGAGGUAAGGGUGAAACGGUGGUGUAAGAGACCACCAGCACCCCGGGUGACCGGGGUGGCUAGGUAAACCCCACCCGGAGCAAGGCCAAGAGGGCGCCCGCGGGCGCCUGCGCAGGCGAUCGAGGGCUGCCCGCCCAAGCCUGCGGGUAGGCCGCACGAGCCUGCCGGCAACGGCAGGCCUAGAUGGAUGGCCGCCGCCCGGGGCGACCCGGGUACAGAAUCCGGCUUACAUGCCGACUCGUCCG